Molecule: ribosomal RNA, 254 nt
Filed under: uncultured bacterium
Lineage: Bacteria
Description: partial 16S ribosomal RNA
Rfam family: Bacterial small subunit ribosomal RNA
Source: RNAcentral
UACGAAGGUGGCAAGCGUUGUUCGGAUUUACUGGGCGUACAGGGAGCGUAGGCGGUUGGAUAAGCCCUCCGUGAAAUCUCCAGGCUUAACCUGGAAAGUGCAGAGGGGACUGUUCAGCUAGAGGAUGGGAGAGGAGCGCGGAAUUCCCGGUGUAGCGGUGAAAUGCGUAGAGAUCGGGAGGAAGGCCGGUGGCGAAGGCGGCAUCCUGGACUACUACUGACGCUGAGUGAGCGAAAGCCAGGGGAGCAAACGGG